GCUUGUCUCAAAGAUUAAGCCAUGCAUGUCUAAGUACAAGCCUCAGUAAGGUGAAACCGCGAAUGGCUCAUUAAAUCACACCUAAUCUACUGGAAAGUUACUAGUUACUUGGAUAACUGAGGUAAUUCUUGAGCUAAUACACGCAAACAAGCUCCGACUUUACGGACGAGCGCAUUUAUUAGACCAAAACCAAUCGGGCUUCGGCCUGAUCACUUGGUGACUCUGAAUAACUGAGCUGAUCGCAUGGUCUUUGUACCGGCGACGCAUCUUUCAAGUGUCUGCCUUAUCAACUUUCGAUGGUAGUUUAUGUGCCUACCAUGGUUGUUACGGGUAACGGAGAAUAAGGGUUCGACUCCGGAGAGGGAGCCUGAGAAACGGCUACCACAUCCAAGGAAGGCAGCAGG
RNAcentral lists this ribosomal RNA (404 nucleotides) under Plectus minimus. Its description in RNAcentral is "partial small subunit ribosomal RNA". It matches the Rfam family "Eukaryotic small subunit ribosomal RNA", at positions 30 to 432 of the family's 1831-position model. The record is from RNAcentral. Lineage: Eukaryota; Metazoa; Nematoda; Chromadorea; Plectida; Plectidae.